AAGGCAGAACAACAUGACUGAAGGCGAUGAGGAACAGCUGAUCACCUGUGGAAGUCAUUUGUCCUAAAUUGUCAUGGACAGACCAUGUGCCUUACAGCAAGAAAAUUCUGUGAAUAAACAGGAAGCCAGCCAGCCAGGGAAGAUGCUUUUGUGAUAUAUCCCAGCAUGCUGAUGACCCCAAGGAGGACCACUGGAUACCUAGCAAGGAAAAAGAAGAACUGAUUGAAGAGUGGCAACCAGAACCUCUUGUUCCUCCUGUCCCAAAAGACCAUCCUGCUCUCAACUACAACAUCGUUUCAGGCUUUUUAGUGCACCAUUCAUAAAUAUGAACAGUAUCCAGUAAAUACCAAACAUUUGAAGAAAGGGUCUACAAUAGAAGAGAGAUCAAAACAAAUGAAUAGAACAAAGGAACUUAGAAGAAAUGUCAGAAACAUCUGCGUGAGAAGGGCCCCUCUCAUAAAAUGAAAACAAAGGACAGAAAGCAUUGCUGAGGGCUUAAGGUGUGGAUGAAAUGACACAUUGAAGCUGAAGAAUCCCCAUGUUGACAGCAUUCAAUCCAAGAAAAGCUCCACUGUACACAUGUUCUAACAUAUG
This 594-nucleotide long non-coding RNA is filed under the name Homo sapiens (human). RNAcentral describes it as "novel transcript". Lineage: Eukaryota; Metazoa; Chordata; Mammalia; Primates; Hominidae. The record is from RNAcentral.